RNAcentral lists this long non-coding RNA (1150 nucleotides) under Carassius auratus (goldfish). Its description in RNAcentral is "lncRNA (ENSCARG00000011659.1)". Lineage: Eukaryota; Metazoa; Chordata; Actinopteri; Cypriniformes; Cyprinidae. The record is from RNAcentral.
AUUUGACUCAUUGGAUUUUAAAUCUCUCUAUUUUGUUUGCAGAGGCAGCAUUUUUCAGGUUUCUGAUACAGCCACUGUUUUUAAAUGAAUCGUUCGAGUAAACGAUUCAGUGAAUCACUCAUAAAGACUUGUUUACUUUUUUUAAACGAAUGAUUCUAAUGGAUAAUUCAGUGACUCACUCAUAAACACAAUCACUUGUUCCCACCUGUGACCUGUCACUGAAAAAUCCCCACCACUAAUACACAAACUGACAGCCUGGCCAGAACAUGCAAAAUCUUUUGUAUAAGUCAAAUACAUUAUAAUAAUGAAAAAGAAAGAACAAAAUAUUUCUGAUUAAAUCUGACAUGGCAAUGCAGCUGAUGUGAAAUUAAGCUUAUGGUGUUUGAAGAAAUUUCAAAGAACUAUUUUACUACUCUCAUUUUCUUGUUUGUUUUUGCCUCCCCCCCUCCUCAUCUCUUUUUCUCCCUCUUUCUUUCUAUCUAUCUUUCUUUCUUUCUCCUCAUCAGUGCGUUGGGCUCAGUAAUGACUCCCACUGUGGCAGCGGUGCCCCUUUAAGGCUGCCCCCCCCCCCCCCUCCAUGCAUUAUUCAUCAAAAUCAAAUGAGGGAACAACAGGAGCAAUAAACAUGCUGCAUGCCACUUCCUCCUCAACUCCCCAAGCUGGCCCCAGCCUGCUGGCCCAUCUCAUUCCCUCUCUCCACCCUGACCUGAGGGUUUUGGGGACUAACUUGGCACCCCUGGUUAACUCUAUGGACAAGACUUUUCUCUUGCUCCCCUGCUCCCUUCCUCCUCAUUUGUUGCACACCUCAAAGAUAUGCCUGCCUGCUGAUGUUGGAUGAUGUGCUUUGGGAUUAAACCAUGUGGCAACCAAGUGCAUAUGCAAUAUUGGGCAUCAAGAUUUGAGGGUAAGCCAUGUCUUUUUUAUAUAAUGUUUGGCCUCAAGUGCGAAGGGCAACUCGAUAAAGUGAGCACAUAUUUAAAUCUUUAUCCAUGUCUGCUCAAGCUGUUGCUUUAAGGAUUGCAUUGAAAGUGUGUUGAAAGUUGCUGUCAGUGACAUCACACAUCUUUCACACACACAAAACUGUACAUUGAACUUAGAAGAGCUGCUAAUAUUUGCAUGAACACAGGAGGGGGUUGAUAGACUAUCCUGG